Molecule: ribosomal RNA, 484 nt
Filed under: uncultured bacterium
Lineage: Bacteria
Description: partial 16S ribosomal RNA
Rfam family: Bacterial small subunit ribosomal RNA
Source: RNAcentral
AUUGAACGCUGGCGGCAUGCCUAACACAUGCAAGUCGAGCGGACGAAUGAAGCUUGCGCCUGGCUUCAGCGGCGGACGGGUGAGUAAUGCCUAGGAAUCUGCCUGGUAGAUGGGGAUAACGUCCGGAAACGGGCGCUAAUACCGCACACGUCCUGAUGUAGAACGUGAUGGAUCUUCGGACCUCACGCUAUUAGAUGAGCCUAGGUCGGAUUAGCUAGUUGGUAGGGUAAAGGCCUACCAAGGCGACGAUCCGUAACUGGUCUGAGAGGAUGAUCAGUCACACUGGAACUGAGACACGGUCCAGACUCCUACGGGAGGCAGCAGUGGGGAAUAUUGGGCAAUGGGCGAAAGCCUGAUGCAGCCAUGCCGCGUGUGUGAAGAAGGUCUUCGGAUUGUAAAGCACUUUAAGUUGGGAGGAAGAGCUGUGAAUGUAUACAUUGCUGUUUUGACGUUACCAACAGAGUAAGCCCCGGCUAACUACGUG